RNAcentral lists this ribosomal RNA (471 nucleotides) under bacterium. RNAcentral describes it as "partial 23S ribosomal RNA". It matches the Rfam family "Bacterial large subunit ribosomal RNA", at positions 708 to 1157 of the family's 2925-position model. The record is from RNAcentral.
AUAAGACCCGAAACGUGGUGAUCUAUCCUUGGCCAGGCUAGUAAAUAGGCCGAAUGGUUCAAUGUUGCAGUAUUGUCCAAUGAGCUGAGGAUUGUAGGUGAAAGGCCAAUCUGACCACGAGAUAGCUGGUAUGCAAUGAAACAUAUAUAGGUAUGACUCUCUAGUUAGAUUUACGCGGGUACAGCACUGAUUGCCAUACUUGAGUCAUGAAUUUGGCUUAGGUUCAAUUGGGGGGCCGAGAGGCUUUACCAUUGGUAGUUAACCUCGGAAUAACGUAAAUUGGUACAGAGAUUUCAGACUGCUCAUGAUAAGGUGGGUAGUCGAGACGGAAACAGCCGUGAGCAUAGAAUAAGGUCCCAAAAUAGUGGUUAAGUGAAAAUAAGGAAGUUAUAAUCCUCACACAACUAUAAAGUGUGCUUGGUAGUGGCAAUCUUUUAAUGAAAGUGUAACAACUUAGUAGUCUAAUGGAUU